AUUGAACGCUGGCGGCAGGCCUAACACAUGCAAGUCGAGCGGAUGAAGGGAGCUUGCUCCUGGAUUCAGCGGCGGACGGGUGAGUAAUGCCUAGGAAUCUGCCUGGUAGUGGGGGAUAACGUCCGGAAACGGGCGCUAAUACCGCAUACGUCCUGAGGGAGCAAGUGGGGGAUCUUCGGACCUCACGCUAUCAGAUGAGCCUAGGUCGGAUUAGCUAGUUGGUGGGGUAAAGGCCUACCAAGGCGACGAUCCGUAACUGGUCUGAGAGGAUGAUCAGUCACACUGGCACUGAGACACGGUCCAGACUCCUACGGGAGGCAGCAGUGGGGAAUAUUGGACAAUGGGCGAAAGCCUGAUCCAGCCAUGCCGCGUGUGUGAAGAAGGUCUUCGGAUUGUAAAGCACUUUAAGUUGGGAGGAAGGGCAGUAAGUUAAUACCUUGCUGUUUUGACGUUACCAACAGAAUAAGCACCGGCUAACUUCGUG
RNAcentral lists this ribosomal RNA (484 nucleotides) under uncultured bacterium. RNAcentral's name for it is "partial 16S ribosomal RNA". It matches the Rfam family "Bacterial small subunit ribosomal RNA", at positions 30 to 507 of the family's 1533-position model. The record is from RNAcentral.